CUCAGCAUCUGAGAUCUCUGCAAAGCCAGGAGAUUACAAAUAGCCCUGGCAGUUUCUACAAAAGUCUACUCUGUCACUGGGCACAGCGAGGAAAUCCACACAUCUGGCCCAGGGAAAGGAAAUGGAAAAUACAAAUGAAAGAGAAGCCAAAGUCAUGGGAGAUGAGAACAGCUUUCCUCUAGCUGAGUGAAUGCAGACCAAAAUCACCCUAAAGUCCUGAGAAGGUGAGUUUAAGAAGAACCUAAGAGAGAAAUCUUCAUUCCUGAAUUUUGCUUCAGACAAACAGCUUCUAAGAACUGGUGUGGCCUGAUGAACAGAUGACCCACAGACCAACCCCUCUGGAAAGAUGGCACUCUGAUAAUUUGGGUGAAGAGUAUUCACCAAAGACAAGAGAAGCUGGGGUAACGUUGCAGAACCUCCCAACAGAAGAAUGUGUGACACUGAAACUGUAAUCAGCUGCUGAUCUGGGCAUUAAAUCUCUGAAUUUUUUCUUGUUGGAGCCUUUCUGAAGAGCAGGAAGGGUUGAGAAAAUGAAAGAAAAAUAACAUCCCCUUCCCCAAAAGCAUUCACAAUGGAUCUUUGGGAGGAAAUGAGCUUGUGAGCAUGCUUCCCUUAACGCCAAGAGGAGAGGAAGUGCACUUCCAUCCCAGCAGGUACUCCUUCUGCACAUGGAAACCCAAGGAGCCUCACAGCAGGGAAAUCGGGUGGCCUCUGUCCACGCUCCCACUGCUGAUCUAUUCAUUAUGAUCUGAAUUUAGCCUCUUCGCAAUGGAAGAAAGACAGUCUGUAAGGGGCCGAGGCUGGAAACCUUAUGAUGUGCUCCCAUUUUGCAUGUUCAUCACAAGCUAAAAUGAAAAAAGAGUUUCUUUCCUCAGUGACUUUGAAAAGAAUAGAGUGGUGAUUAACAGCAAUAUUUUUUUUAAUGAAACGCAACCCGUCAUCUCUGUCAUCUUCUGGCCAUCCUCGCUUGUACGCGCCUCCCUGACAAGAGGAAUAAUAAUGGUCAUACAUCACUGCUCUGCACGUCCAAUCAUCUAAAUCUUCCCUCGCUGCAGCCUCUGAGACUCAAUUACUUUAUUGACAUGCAAUCUUCAUAAGGGGAGAAAUAUUGUGCAUGUAAGGUCACUUGGUUAUGAAGACAUAUUAUCAUAUUAUCUGCAUGAGGGUUGCAGGGCUAAGACCUGACAGAGCUAAUUAUAAUGGUACAUGAUAGAAAGCUCAGUACACAUUAUUCGCUUCGCUGCACUAAAGGUGAGGUAAGUCCAUGACAUCAUGGUUUUUUGAAAAAAUAAUGCAACUUAAGCUUGGAGGCUCUAACUCUUUUUUAACUCCCCGCAUUUUUACUUUUUGGUUCUCACAGACAAUGCAAGAACUAAUGCAUUGUUAAUGGAGUCCUCAGAUUUAAGGGAAGGGAGAUGGCAGGCCCAUGUAGUGUGUGUGUGUGUGUGUGUGUGUGUGUGUGUGUACGUGUGUAAUUGUCUUGCUUACUCCCCAUCUAACACCAAGUUUCAGUCCAUUUCCUAGCAAGUGGAAUGAGAAUGACUCAAGGGAGGAAGGGAAAGGGAUACAAAUGUGUCAAUUUGAUAACAGAGUAAAGCUUCCCCUCACCCUCAAUUAACCCCUCUCAGAUCCUUGCCCCUUUCUUUCCCUUGGUCUCCCUGGCAGAGGCUUAUCACACUGAGACUUAGUGCUUCUGGGUAUGAUUUCUUUGUUCAGAUAUAUCAGGUUAUUUAAGUGUUUGCCAUCAGACUCCUGCUAGAAGCUUCAUAUAUGGCUAGUCAGUCCUUCACUUCUUUGCAUCCUCUGCCCAUUUGUCAUCCCCAAAUGGGGGGUGAUCCUAGGAAUGGGUCAUCCCAGGUGUAUCCCAGAUUGAGAGGCCACAGAGAGGAGCCCUAGUGGCAAUUUUGCAAGAAGGGAGCAUCAAGGAGAGAAAUCUGGGUCGAGUUUCUGGGUCGUCCAGCCUUGCCACAGUUAACAUGGACCUGGAUGUAAAACUGGCAUAGAUUGGUCUUUGAUGAGUCAUCAUGAAGUCAAAAUCAAGUCAACCUCCAUGGAUGGGUUUGAGAUAGCAUCUGAACCUCAGCCCUGGACACAUGUUCUAAUUUCAGAGGGAUUUGUGAACUUAUAUACAGGAAUAAAAAAAGCCAUUAAGAGUAUCACAAUAAUCCAACAUAGGCUGGCUCCUAGGAUUAUCUCUCCCUCAGCAAAGAACUAAUUCAACAAAGGAGAAGAAAUGACUAAAGUCUUCUAAGCUCCAGAAACUGCCUUGGUCUUCUAAUAUGAGUGCUCUGGCUCCAACAUAAGAAGCACAGAGAACAAAAAAUUGAGGUUAUCCAAAUUCUCUCUUACUUAAUACUCUCAUAAUUCACAUUCCUCAAUUUCUGAAACAAAGUGGCUCAAAAAUAAUGGUGACAUUGGUAACAAAGCCACACAGAGAUGUGGAUUUCUUUUUCUGAGUUGGAAAUUGUGCAUAAUAUGAUGUUUAUAUUAAGUAAAUUUGAUUGUAACCCAGGUACAGUAGAAAUGGUAACUCUUUAGACACUAAAAUUUUAGAUAGGCUAUUUUGGAUUAGAUGGUCUCAUGCAUUGCAUUUCUACCUCCAGCAUCUCAAAUGCAUUUUUGCAAUAGGGAAGCUCACAGUGUAUCAAUUUCCAACAGUUGAUAUACUAAUUGGUAUAAAAUUGUAUAGUUGGCAGAAAAAGAAUUGGGCUAAGGUUUAAGAGAUUAAAUAUCUACUCUUGACUCAACCACCCAAAAUACAUCCCAUAGUUCCUUAGCCAAGGCAAAAUUUCUCUUUACAUGCUGAAGAAAGUACUUGUGAGACACAGAAGUAUUCUGAAAAGACUAUGGUGUUGCCUAAUAAACUGCCUUGAAAAUCUGGCCACCUAAUUUAUUAGCUUCAUGAUCUUGAGCAAAUUUUUUUGCCUUCAAGCCUCAACUGCCCUUCUUUAAAAUGGGUAAUAAGUUGUUCACUUCAAAGGAUUAGUAUGGAAAUGAAAAUACACCUAGUAAAUGGCAGUUAUUGCUACCAUUUUGGUCUUAGUGUGUUUGAAACUGUUUUGCAGAUCAAUUAUGUAAAAAAAACAUGGAUUGUGAAGAGCAAAAUCCCCUAUGAAUGUGAGACAUGACUAUUAUUUGUGGUGUCACCAGACCAGACUCUCAAAUAUGAGAGCCAUUUGUAUUUUCAAUUUCAAAAAUAUUUUCAUCAGAAAGUCCUUGCCCAUCCAGUCACUGGUGCUGUCUCAAAAAGCACAAAAGAGAGCUGUAAUGGCAUAAAGUAAUAUAUUGUAGGGGGUAGUUAUUAAAGACCAAAAGACAAUGCCAUUUGAAGGUGGGCCAGGACCUAGGAUCACAAAGAAACUCAUCUGGUUGUCUACUCCACAUACCUGUCUUCACCAUCAUCCAGAGGGUUAGAGACCAUAGUACAAAGAAGAAACCAUUUUUUCCUAUUUUGGAAUCAGGGCAUACUCUGUACCAUUCUCCCUCCUAGCCUAGAUUUCAGGAGGCCCUCAGUCUAUUGGUCUUAAGCACAGUCCUUCACCUCUUGACACCUCAUAUUUUACAUCUGGGAAAGUAAUUUCUAGUGGUUGGUUUCCAUCAAUACCUCUUCAGUUGAUUAGGAUCUAUAGUUUAAGAAAAGCAGACACUGGAGCAAUGGGAACAACCAUUCUAGUCAAGUUAGGGCAUGAGAUUUUGAUUUAAGUGAAAAAGAAGACUAUCAUCUGCCACAAAAUAGCCAAAGCAGAAGUUUUCAACAGUGCCUUUCACUUUAAAAAAAAUGUCAUAUCAUUAAUUUUUAAAUAGUCAUUUUAUUUCAAACUCUUCCUGGAAUACAGAAAAAUUAAUUAAUAAUCACAUGUAUUAUUUCAUAUAAUCCUCCCAACAUCCUUAUGAAGUGAAUAUUAUUGUCAUCCCCAUUUUGUUGGUGAAAAAAAUCAAGGCUAAGAAAAGUUAAAUGAAUUUUUCCAGGUCAGACAGCUAACAAAUGGCUCAAUUUUACAUUUUUUAAAUUCCUCAUCUUGGAGGGUUUUUGUUUUUUAUUUUUUGUUUUUUGUUUUUUUGUAUGUGCUUUAUAGCAGGACAUAGAAAAAAUAAAUACUUCUUUUGCCCACUGACCAAUACUAGAUAAAACAGGUUGUCACUCUCUGAUAAAAGCUUUGAAUUUGGGAUGCCUGGGUGGCUCAGUGGUUGAGUGUCUGCCUUCAUCUCAGGACAUGAUCCUGGAGUCUGAAGUUCUGGGCUUCAGUCCCACAUUGGGCUCCUUUAGGGGAGCCUGCUUCACCCUCUGCCUAUGUCUCUGCCUUUCUCUG
This is a long non-coding RNA of Nyctereutes procyonoides (raccoon dog), 4310 nucleotides long. RefSeq lists it as uncharacterized. The transcript has 4 exons. The record is from RefSeq and is a predicted model, not a curated record. Lineage: Eukaryota; Metazoa; Chordata; Mammalia; Carnivora; Canidae.